AAAAAUUUAGUUAAAAAAUAACAUUAGCAUGUCAAGCUAAAAUUACUAUAAAAGUAAUUUUUU
This 63-nucleotide transfer RNA is filed under the name Coraebus cavifrons. Its description in RNAcentral is "tRNA-Asp". Lineage: Eukaryota; Metazoa; Arthropoda; Insecta; Coleoptera; Buprestidae. The record is from RNAcentral.